GCACUGCUGAAGAGUCCCAAAAUAGGACGAAACGGCCGUCCAGUGC
Non-coding RNA from Schistosoma mansoni, 46 nucleotides. NCBI's taxonomy places the organism in Eukaryota, Metazoa, Platyhelminthes, Trematoda, Strigeidida, Schistosomatidae. The record is from Rfam.